RNAcentral lists this transfer RNA (91 nucleotides) under Xylaria sp. CBS 124048. Its description in RNAcentral is "tRNA-Pro". Lineage: Eukaryota; Fungi; Ascomycota; Sordariomycetes; Xylariales; Xylariaceae. The record is from RNAcentral.
GGCUUGGUGGUCUAGCGGUAUGAUUCUCGCUUAGGGUUCACCCUGAAAGCAAAGUUGCGAGAGGUCCCGGGUUCAAUCCCCGGCCAAGCCC